GAGAGGAGAGGAUUUAAUAGAGAGAAGAGAGAUGUGGAGAGGUUAUAGCAGAGAGAGGAGAGGAUUUAAUAGAGAGAAGAGAGAUGUGGAGAGGUUAUAGCAGAGAGAGGAGAGGAUUUAACAGAGAGAAGAGAGAUGAUAGCAGAGAGAGGAGAUUAUUUAACAGAGAGAAGAGAAAUGUGGAGAGGUUAUAGCAGAGAGAGGAGAGGAUUUAACAGAGAGAAGAGAGAUGUGGAGAGGUUAUAGCAGAGAGAGGAGAUGAUUUAACAGAGAGAAGAGAGAUGUGGAGAGGUUAUAGCAGAGAGAGGAGAGGAUUUAACAGAGAGAAGAGAGAUGUGGAGAGGUUAUAGCAGAGAGAGGAGAGGAUUUAAUAGAGAGAAGAGAGAUGUGGAGAGGUUAUAGCAGAGAGAGGAGAGGAUUUAAUA
This is a long non-coding RNA of Oncorhynchus keta (chum salmon), 425 nucleotides long. RefSeq lists it as uncharacterized. The record is from RefSeq and is a predicted model, not a curated record. The transcript is spliced from 3 exons. Lineage: Eukaryota; Metazoa; Chordata; Actinopteri; Salmoniformes; Salmonidae.